Molecule: long non-coding RNA, 553 nt
Filed under: Bos taurus (domestic cattle)
Lineage: Eukaryota; Metazoa; Chordata; Mammalia; Artiodactyla; Bovidae
Description: long non-coding RNA NONBTAT000963
Source: RNAcentral
UUUUGAGAGCUUUUGAUUUUUGUAUUACCUAUCAUAUUUAUCCUAAUUUACAAUUUAUUCUAAUUGGCCAUUGAGUGGGCCAGUAUGGUUUUCUCCUGGUGAGGAUGAACAUUAGUGAUAUUUGUUCAGAAGAAGAGGUGUGAAGGGAGGAAAAGCCCAAGUUCUAAUUGUGGAGCCACUGAUCUUGGGAAAGGCACUUCAUCAUUUUACUUAUAAGAAGAGAAUGAUAUUGUCUAAUUGACAGUUUUUUCUAAACUAUAGGCUGGGGAAUCCAAGAGAUUAAAAAAAUUUCUAGAAUAAAAAAAUUUUAAGGAUUUUCUACUAUCUUAUUCAUAGAAUAAAUUCUACUUGCAUUCCUUGAGCUCAAAUCUUAUUUCAGGCAGUAAAAGUCAAUUAUAUGUGGUUAUGAGAUCAUCUGUAUGUGUAAAGGCAGAUUUUGGCUUAUGUUAAUGAAGGUCAUGGGUAUAGUAGUCAGGAAAUGUAGUGGUGUUUAUAAUUAUAAAGAGACUAACUGCAUUUUAAUUAUGAUUUUAGAAGUUUUCUUUGGACCUGA